GAUGAACGCUGGCGGCGUGCCUAACACAUGCAAGUCGAACGGAGAUUACGGACGGAAGUUUUCGGAUGGAAGACUGUAAUUCUUAGUGGCGGACGGGUGAGUAACGCGUGGGCAACCUGCCCUAUACAGGGGGAUAGCAGCUGGAAACGGCUGGUAAGACCUCAUAAGUCGGCGAGACCGCAUUGUUUUGCCGGGAAAUGAGCAAUCAGGUAUAGGAUGGGCCCGCGUCCGAUUAGCCAGUUGGCAGGGGAAAAGCCUACCAAAGCAACGAUCGGUAGCCGGACUGAGAGGUCGGACGGCCACAUUGGGACUGGGACACGGCCCAAACUCCUACGGGAGGCAGCAGUGGGGGAUAUUGCACAAUGGAGGAAACUCUGAUGCAGCGACGCCGCGUGAGUGAAGAAGUAUUUCGGUAUGUAAAGCUCUAUCAGCAGGGAAGAUGCUGACGGUACCUGACUAAGAAGCCCCGGCUAACUACGUG
Molecule: ribosomal RNA, 481 nt
Filed under: uncultured bacterium
Lineage: Bacteria
Description: partial 16S ribosomal RNA
Rfam family: Bacterial small subunit ribosomal RNA
Source: RNAcentral